RNAcentral lists this ribosomal RNA (292 nucleotides) under uncultured bacterium. Its description in RNAcentral is "partial 16S ribosomal RNA". It matches the Rfam family "Bacterial small subunit ribosomal RNA", at positions 505 to 796 of the family's 1533-position model. The record is from RNAcentral.
GUGUCAGCAGCCGCGGUAAGACGUAGGGGGCCAGCGUUGUUCGGAAUUACUGGGUGUAAAGGGUUCGUAGGCGGUGUGGCAAGUCGGGAGUGAAAUCUAUGGGCUUAACCCAUAGUCUGCUUCCGAAACUGCUGUGCUGGAGUGUGGGAGAGGCGCGUGGAAUUGCAGGUGUAGCGGUGAAAUGCGUAGAUAUCUGCAGGAACACCCGUGGCGAAAGCGGCGCGCUGGACCACUACUGACGCUGAGGAACGAAAGCUAGGGGAGCAAACAGGAUUAGAUACCCCGGUAGUCC